CCACGAGUGGCAAUCACGUUUAUUGGGCCUAAAGCGUCCGUAGCAGGUUUUGUAAAUCUCUUGUGAAAUUGCCGGGCUUAACUCGGCAACGUGCAGGAGACACUGCAAGACUAGGGACCGGGAAGGGUUAGAGGUAUUCCUGAGGGAGCGGUAAAAUGCUAUAAUCUCAGGAGGACCGCCUGUGGCGAAGGCGUCUAACUAGAACGGAUCCGACUGUGAGGGACGAAAGCUAGGGGAGCAAACCG
This 245-nucleotide ribosomal RNA is filed under the name uncultured archaeon. Its description in RNAcentral is "partial 16S ribosomal RNA". It matches the Rfam family "Archaeal small subunit ribosomal RNA", at positions 482 to 726 of the family's 1478-position model. The record is from RNAcentral.